GAGUUUGAUCAUGGCUCAAGAUGAACGCUGGCGGCGUGCCUAAUACAUGCAAGUCGAGCGCAAAGAUCAGGAGCUUGCUCCUUUGAUUUGAGCGGCGGACGGGUGAGUAACACGUAGGCAACCUACCCUUGAGAUUGGGAUAACUACCGGAAACGGUAGCUAAUACCGGAUACGACCGUUCUGCAUAAGCAGAAUGGUUAAAAGGCGGAUUUAUCUGCCGCUCAUGGAUGGGCCUGCGGUGCAUUAGCUAGUUGGUGAGAUAGUAGCUCACCAAGGCGACGAUGCAUAGCCGACCUGAGAGGGUGAUCGGCCACACUGGGACUGAGACACGGCCCAGACUCCUACGGGAGGCAGCAGUAGGGAAUCUUCCGCAAUGGACGCAAGUCUGACGGAGCAACGCCGCGUGAGUGAUGAAGGGUUUCGGCU
RNAcentral lists this ribosomal RNA (426 nucleotides) under bacterium CR3. Its description in RNAcentral is "bacterial SSU rRNA". It matches the Rfam family "Bacterial small subunit ribosomal RNA", at positions 9 to 423 of the family's 1533-position model. The record is from RNAcentral.